This 451-nucleotide ribosomal RNA is filed under the name uncultured bacterium. RNAcentral's name for it is "partial 16S ribosomal RNA". It matches the Rfam family "Bacterial small subunit ribosomal RNA", at positions 29 to 523 of the family's 1533-position model. The record is from RNAcentral.
AGCGAACGCUGGCGGCAGGCUUAACACAUGCAAGUCGAGCGGGCAUCUUCGGGUGUCAGCGGCGGACGGGUGAGUAACGCGUGGGAACGUCCCUUCUGGUUCGGAAUAACUCAGGGAAACUUGAGCUAAUACCGGAUACGCCCUUUUGGGGAAAGGUUUACUGCCGGAAGAUCGGCCCGCGUCUGAUUAGCUAGUUGGUGGGGUAACGGCCUACCAAGGCGACGAUCAGUAGCUGGUCUGAGAGGAUGAUCAGCCACACUGGGACUGAGACACGGCCCAGACUCCUACGGGAGGCAGCAGUGGGGAAUAUUGGACAAUGGGGGCAACCCUGAUCCAGCCAUGCCGCGUGAGUGAUGAAGGCCUUAGGGUUGUAAAGCUCUUUUGUCCGGGACGAUAAUGACGGUACCGGAGGAAUAAGCCCCGGCUAACUUCGUGCCAGCCGCCGCGGUAA